UGCUAGGUUACACGAAUGAUACUCAAUUGAUAACUCAUCUAGAGUAAACCCUAAGCUGUGUUUAUAUACACAGUUACAUGAUAUCUACUGAUUGAUUUAUAAAUAUCUUCUUCCUAAAAUAAUCUAAUCAGUAGCUAUCCUUCUGCUGUCCUGAUCUGCACAAUCUCUCUUGAUCUUUAUCUUCCUUAUUUAGUCAGAUAUGCUCCUGAAAAUCAGCCGCCUGCAAACUCUGAUCAUCGCUUAAACUCUGAUCC
RNAcentral lists this long non-coding RNA (254 nucleotides) under Daucus carota (carrot). Its description in RNAcentral is "long non-coding RNA (DCAR_LNC001513)". The record is from RNAcentral. Lineage: Eukaryota; Viridiplantae; Streptophyta; Magnoliopsida; Apiales; Apiaceae.